This 442-nucleotide ribosomal RNA is filed under the name uncultured bacterium. RNAcentral describes it as "partial 16S ribosomal RNA". It matches the Rfam family "Bacterial small subunit ribosomal RNA", at positions 338 to 795 of the family's 1533-position model. The record is from RNAcentral.
CCUACGGGGGGCAGCAGUGGGGAAUAUUGGGCAAUGGGCGCAAGCCUGACCCAGCAACGCCGCGUGAAGGAAGAAGGCUUUCGGGUUGUAAACUUCUUUUGUCAGGGAAGAGUAGAAGACUGUACCUGACGAAUAAGCCACGGCUCACUACGUGCCAGCAGCCGCGGUAAUACGUAGGUGGCAAGCGUUGUCCGGAUUUACUGGGUGUAAAGGGCGUGUAGCCGGGUUGACAAGUCAGAUGUGAAAUCCUGCGGCUUAACCGCAGAACUGCAAUUGAAACUAUUGAUCUUGAGUACUGGAGAGGAAGACGGAAUUCCUAGUGUAGCGGUGAAAUGCGUAGAUAUUAGGAGGAACACCAGUGGCGAAGGCGGUCUGCUGGACAGCAACUGACGGUGAGGCGCGAAAGCGUGGGGAGCAAACAGGAUUAGAUACCCUAGUAGUC